Molecule: non-coding RNA, 462 nt
Organism: Dermatophagoides farinae (American house dust mite)
Lineage: Eukaryota; Metazoa; Arthropoda; Arachnida; Sarcoptiformes; Pyroglyphidae
Source: RefSeq, a predicted model, not a curated record
CGAUCGGGACAAACAUCAACAAAAACAUCAAAUGGUUUUUGCCAUAUAAACACUAGAAAAAUAUUCGAAAGUAAAAGAAAAAGAAAAAGAAAAAAAAAUUCAAGAAAUUCGCGAAAUCAGGAGACUGCUUGGCGACUUUGAUGAUGAUUUUGAUCUUUUUUUUCAUUUCAUUUCGUUUCUUUCAUCAUCGUUUUCGAGAAAAUCACCAUUUUCAUUGCUUUUCCUCUCUCGUUUUACGUUAUACAUUUCUUGUUUUUUUUGGUAGUGUGUGUGUGUGUGUGUUUGAUUUCGAUUUUGCUGACCACCAGCUGUGAUCGAUAUUUGUCCAUCGUCAGUCUAUAGGCUGAACGUUGAACGUUGAACGCUGCUGCUGCUGCUGAACAGAACUGAUGAGAUCGACCCGAGAAUAAACUGCAAAAAAAAACUCGAAUUUUCAAAUUCAAUCACCUGAAAUCUGGAUAG